Molecule: ribosomal RNA, 497 nt
Filed under: uncultured bacterium
Lineage: Bacteria
Description: partial 16S ribosomal RNA
Rfam family: Bacterial small subunit ribosomal RNA
Source: RNAcentral
GAUGAACGCUGGCGGCGUGCCUAAUACAUGCAAGUCGAGCGAACAGAUGAGGAGCUUGCUCCUCUGACGUUAGCGGCGGACGGGUGAGUAACACGUGGAUAAACUACCUAUAAAACUGGGAUAACUUAGGGAAACCGGAGCGAAUACCGGAUAAUAUAAUGAAACGAAUGGCCCAAUAGUGAAAGAAGGUGUUGAAGUGACUAAUAGAUGGAGCCGGGCCGCAGUAGCUAGUGGGUAAGGGAACGGCAUACCAAGGCUACGAUGCGUAGCAGAACUCAGAGCGUGAUCCGCCACACUGGCUCUGAGACUCGGUCCCGACUCCUGCGCGAGGCAGCAGUACGGAAUCUUCCGCAAUGGGCGAAAGCCUGACGGUGCACCGCCGCGUGAGUGCUGAAGGUCUUCGGCUCCUAAAACUCUGUUAUUAGUGAAUAACUAAUGUGUUAGUAGCUAUGCACGUCUUGACGGUACCUAAUCAGAAAGCCCCGGCUAACUACGUG